RNAcentral lists this ribosomal RNA (474 nucleotides) under Clostridia bacterium. Its description in RNAcentral is "bacterial SSU rRNA". It matches the Rfam family "Bacterial small subunit ribosomal RNA", at positions 1058 to 1533 of the family's 1533-position model. The record is from RNAcentral. Lineage: Bacteria; Bacillati; Bacillota; Clostridia.
GCUCGUGUCGUGAGAUGUUCGGUUAAGUCCGUUAACGAGCGCAACCCUUAUCGUUAGUUGCCAUCAUUAAGUUGGGAACCCUAGCGAGACUGCCGUAGUUAAUACGGAGGAAGGUGGGGAUGAGGUCAAGUCAUCAUGCCUCUUACGCCUUGGGCUACACACGUGCUACAAUGGCUACUACAAAGAGCUGCAAUAUAGUAAUAUGGAGCGAAUCUCAAAAAAGUAGUCUCAAUUCGGAUUGUGGGCUGCAACCCGCCCACAUGAAAUCGGAGUUGCUAGUAAUGGCGAAUCAGCAUGUCGCCGUGAAUGCGUUCCCGGGUCUUGUACACACCGCCCGCCAAGCUAUGAGAGCUGAGGGCACCCAAAACCGCUGUGCCGACCGCAAGGAAGCAAGCGUCUAAGGUGAAAUCGGUGAUUGGAGUUAAGGCGUAACAAGGUAGCUGUAGGAGAACCUGCGGCUGGAUCACCUCCUUU